RNAcentral lists this ribozyme (76 nucleotides) under Alligator mississippiensis (American alligator). Its description in RNAcentral is "Mammalian CPEB3 ribozyme". It matches the Rfam family "Mammalian CPEB3 ribozyme". From Rfam's summary of the family: The mammalian CPEB3 ribozyme is a self cleaving RNA located in the second intron of the CPEB3 gene which belongs to a family of genes regulating messenger RNA polyadenylation. This ribozyme is highly conserved and found only in mammals. There is currently only one other known self cleaving ribozyme in mammals, the CoTC motif. Lineage: Eukaryota; Metazoa; Chordata; Crocodylia; Alligatoridae. The record is from Rfam by way of RNAcentral.
AGAGGUAGUUUGAGGCCAUAGCAGAAGUGCUCACGGCAUGGCCCUGUCAGAUUCCAGUGAAUCUGCAAAUUCUGCU